RNAcentral lists this long non-coding RNA (541 nucleotides) under Ananas comosus (pineapple). RNAcentral's name for it is "long non-coding RNA (ACOM_LNC021878)". Lineage: Eukaryota; Viridiplantae; Streptophyta; Magnoliopsida; Poales; Bromeliaceae. The record is from RNAcentral.
AUUUGGGGAUAUCUUGUGAGCCCAAAUGUAUUGACUACAUUUCUUUUUGUUUGCUCUGUGUUGAAUGUUGGCUUAAAUGGGUCAGCAUUCUACUCUGUGGCGGGAGGCAAUGUUGGACCGAGUCAUGUUUGAAAUGGCGUGAGGCUGGGUGGGCCUAGUCAUGUUCGAAGUGGCGGUGAGGUUGGUUGAGCCGAGUCACAAUCGAGACCCGUGGGUGCUGUAUUUGCACACUUUAAGUGAAUUGGUUGUAUAUUUCUAACAGUUCGAGCUUUUNCUAUCCUGUAAUUGUAGCCCAGGUUGAGCCGAGUCAUAUUUAAAAUGACGUGAGGUUGGAUUAAGCCGAGUCAUGUUCGAAGUGGCGUGAGGUUGGUUGAGCCGAGUCACAAUCGAGACCCGUGGGUGCUGUAUUUGCACACUUUAAGUGAAUUGGUUGUAUAUUUCUAACAGUUCGAGCUUUUGGGAUUAAUGGUUAGUGCCAACGAUUCGACAUUGAAUUUCUAGCUUAUGGACUAAUGCUUAGUGAGAUAAAUAAAAAUGAUUA